Molecule: non-coding RNA, 94 nt
Organism: Mycena latifolia
Lineage: Eukaryota; Fungi; Basidiomycota; Agaricomycetes; Agaricales; Mycenaceae
Source: the annotation of a GenBank genome assembly
GCGGACGUGGUGCAAGGCGCACCGCUGCUUCAAUUUGAGCUUCGUCGUUUGGUUCAGCAUGCAGUUGAACGGGGUUCGAUUCCCCGCGUCCGUA